AUUGAACGCUGGCGGCAUGCUUUACACAUGCAAGUCGAACGGCAGCGCUGGCUUCGGCCUGGCGGCGAGUGGCGAACGGGUGAGUAAUACAUCGGAACGUGCCCAGUAGUGGGGGAUAGCUCGGCGAAAGCCGGAUUAAUACCGCAUACGACCUGAGGGUGAAAGCGGGGGAUCUUCGGGCCUCGCGCUAUUGGAGCGGCCGAUGGCAGAUUAGCUAGUUGGUGGGGUAAAGGCCUACCAAGGCGACGAUCUGUAGCUGGUCUGAGAGGACGACCAGCCACACUGGGACUGAGACACGGCCCAGACUCCUACGGGAGGCAGCAGUGGGGAAUUUUGGACAAUGGGCGAAAGCCUGAUCCAGCAAUGCCGCGUGUGUGAUGAAGGCCUUCGGGUUGUAAAGCACUUUUGGCGGGAACGAAAAGGACUGUGCCAAUACCACGGUUCGAUGACGGUACCCGCAGAAUAAGCACCGGCUAACUACGUG
RNAcentral lists this ribosomal RNA (484 nucleotides) under uncultured bacterium. Its description in RNAcentral is "partial 16S ribosomal RNA". It matches the Rfam family "Bacterial small subunit ribosomal RNA", at positions 29 to 507 of the family's 1533-position model. The record is from RNAcentral.